Molecule: ribosomal RNA, 523 nt
Filed under: Asterionellopsis glacialis
Lineage: Eukaryota; Bacillariophyta; Plagiogrammaphyceae; Rhaphoneidales; Asterionellopsidaceae
Description: partial Bacterial large subunit ribosomal RNA
Rfam family: Bacterial large subunit ribosomal RNA
Source: RNAcentral
GGUCACCGCAAGGGAAGCUGGCGACCGAAGCCCCGAUAAACGGCGGCCGUAACUAUGACGGUCCUAAGGUAGCGAAAUUCCUUGUCGGGUAAGUUCCGACCCGCACGAAAGGCGUAACGAUUUGGACACUGUCUCGGAGAGGGACUCGGCGAAAUAGACUUGUCUGUGAAGAUGCGGACUACCUGCACCUGGACAGAAAGACCCUAUGAAGCUUUACUGUAACUUGAGAUUGGUUUCGGGUUUUAUUUGCGCAGAAUAGGUGGGAGGCUAUGAAAAAAUACUUGUGGGUGUUUUGGAGCCAUCAGUGAGAUACCACUCUUGUAAAACUAGAAAUCUAACUUUACACCAUUAUCUGGUUAAAAGACAGUCUCAGGCGGGCAGUUUGACUGGGGCGGUCGCCUCCUAAAGGGUAACGGAGGCGCCCAAAGGUUCCCUCAGCCUGGUUGGUAAUCAGGUGGUGAGUGUAAGUGCACAAGGGGGCUUGACUGUGAGACUGACAGGUCGAGCAGGGACGAAAGUCGGG